This 162-nucleotide small RNA is filed under the name Gopherus agassizii (Agassiz's desert tortoise). RNAcentral's name for it is "TUC338 (ENSGAGG00000019968.1)". The record is from RNAcentral. Lineage: Eukaryota; Metazoa; Chordata; Testudines; Testudinidae.
ACAGCCCUGAAGACUGAAGUCCUCUAUCCACAGAAGAGAUCCUUUACAUUAAGGGCAAUAAUAAUGCAAGCUUCCCUACACUGCCCCACCGAUGUGCCUCAACCAUAUCUUCAAGGAACUGUUUUGAUGGGAGUUCAGUCUCCAGUCAGAUCCUUAGCUCAU